This 736-nucleotide ribosomal RNA is filed under the name uncultured bacterium. RNAcentral describes it as "bacterial SSU rRNA". It matches the Rfam family "Bacterial small subunit ribosomal RNA", at positions 61 to 790 of the family's 1533-position model. The record is from RNAcentral.
GUCGAGGGGCAGCAGAGAGUAGCAAUACUUAGAUGGCGACCGGCGCACGGGUGCGUUACGCGUAUGCAACCUACCUACAACAGGGGAAUAACCCGGAGAAAUUCGGACUAAUACCGCAUAAAACAGGGGUCCCGCAUGGGAAUAUUUGUUAAAGAUUUAUCGGUUGUAGAUGGGCAUGCGUUCCAUUAGGAAGUUGGUGAGGUAACGGCUCACCAAUCCAACGAUGGAUAGGGGAACUGAGAGGUUUGUCCCCCACACUGGAACUGAGACACGGACCAGACUCCUACGGGAGGCAGCAGUGAGGAAUAUUGGUCAAUGGGCGAGAGCCUGAACCAGCCAAAUCGCGUGAAGGAAGACUGCCUUAUGGGUUGUAAACUUCUUUUAUCAGGGAAUAAAAAGAGUUACGAGUAACUUAUUGCAUGUACCUGAUGAAUAAGCAUCGGCUAACUCCGUGCCAGCAGCCGCGGUAAUACGGAGGAUGCGAGCGUUAUCCGGAUUUAUUGGGUUUAAAGGGUGCGCAGGCGGGCUUUUAAGUCAGCGGUGAAAUCCCAACGCUUAACGUUGGAACUGCCGUUGAAACUGGGAGUCUUGAGCAUAGAUGAAGUAAGCGGAAUUCGUUGUGUAGCGGUGACAUGCUUAGAUAUAACGAGGAACUCCGAUUGCGUAGGCAGCUUACUAAGCUAUAACUGACGCUCAAGCACGAAAGCGUGGGGAUAAUCACUAAUGAAUUCGCCGG